AAUAAUAUUAUUUAUAAUUAAAUAAAUAAUGUAUCACUAAUAUAACUUACAAGAUCACCAAACUAUUUUGCAAAUUUUCUCUUAUGUCGAUCAUCAGCAUCCAUAUUAUUCUUUCUAUAUAGUAUACUCUUGUGCUCACUACAACAAGUUAUGAAUUUUAAUUUUACAUCAAAAUAAAAAAUUUACUUAAAAUAUUAAACAGUAUGCUAAGAUGGUACUUACUCAAUAAAAUCUUCAAUUUCUUUAUAAUUAUUUAGAAUGUAAAAGUAUACCUUGGAUAGCUCGUUCACGUCCACAAAUUCAUAUCUUCUUACACCAAU
This 320-nucleotide long non-coding RNA is filed under the name Elaeis guineensis (African oil palm). Its description in RNAcentral is "long non-coding RNA (EGUI_LNC072978)". Lineage: Eukaryota; Viridiplantae; Streptophyta; Magnoliopsida; Arecales; Arecaceae. The record is from RNAcentral.